RNAcentral lists this transfer RNA (76 nucleotides) under Candidatus Zambryskibacteria bacterium RIFCSPHIGHO2_12_FULL_43_12b. RNAcentral's name for it is "tRNA-Thr". It matches the Rfam family "tRNA". From Rfam's summary of the family: Transfer RNA (tRNA) molecules are approximately 80 nucleotides in length. Their secondary structure includes four short double-helical elements and three loops (D, anti-codon, and T loops). Lineage: Bacteria; Candidatus Zambryskiibacteriota. The record is from RNAcentral.
GCCGAGAUAGCUCAGUUGGUAGAGCAGCUGUUUUGUAAACAGCAGGUCGGAGGUUCGAUCCCUCUUCUCGGCUCCA